GCUAGAGGGUUCUUCUCCACACAUGACACAUAAGCAACCUAAAUUGAUUUUCAGUUGUUCUUUCAAUAAGUUGUGAAUUUCAAUACUCCAGAUUAACCGUGAACAGCACUUUUUUAAUCUUCAAGUUUUCCUUAAGUUAUUGAAUUGGACGGAAAAACGCAUACAACAAUUCAAAACAUUCUUCAAAAGUCCCCUACGUGAAAAGCACAAUAGUGAUACAAUCAAAGAUCAUUAAACUUUGUGAAAACUAUAAGCAUUGACGAGGCAUUCGUAACUAUGAAAAG
RNAcentral lists this long non-coding RNA (284 nucleotides) under Malus domestica (apple). Its description in RNAcentral is "long non-coding RNA (MDOM_LNC019012)". Lineage: Eukaryota; Viridiplantae; Streptophyta; Magnoliopsida; Rosales; Rosaceae. The record is from RNAcentral.